Molecule: ribosomal RNA, 816 nt
Filed under: Streptomyces omiyaensis
Lineage: Bacteria; Bacillati; Actinomycetota; Actinomycetes; Kitasatosporales; Streptomycetaceae
Description: bacterial SSU rRNA
Rfam family: Bacterial small subunit ribosomal RNA
Source: RNAcentral
GUCGAACGAUGAAGCCCUUCGGGGUGGAUUAGUGGCGAACGGGUGAGUAACACGUGGGCAAUCUGCCCUUCACUCUGGGACAAGCCCUGGAAACGGGGUCUAAUACCGGAUAACACCGGCUUCCGCAUGGGGGCUGGUUAAAAGCUCCGGCGGUGAAGGAUGAGCCCGCGGCCUAUCAGCUUGUUGGUGGGGUAAUGGCCUACCAAGGCGACGACGGGUAGCCGGCCUGAGAGGGCGACCGGCCACACUGGGACUGAGACACGGCCCAGACUCCUACGGGAGGCAGCAGUGGGGAAUAUUGCACAAUGGGCGAAAGCCUGAUGCAGCGACGCCGCGUGAGGGAUGACGGCCUUCGGGUUGUAAACCUCUUUCAGCAGGGAAGAAGCGAGAGUGACGGUACCUGCAGAAGAAGCGCCGGCUAACUACGUGCCAGCAGCCGCGGUAAUACGUAGGGCGCAAGCGUUGUCCGGAAUUAUUGGGCGUAAAGAGCUCGUAGGCGGCUUGUCACGUCGGGUGUGAAAGCCCGGGGCUUAACCCCGGGUCUGCAUCCGAUACGGGCAGGCUAGAGUGUGGUAGGGGAGAUCGGAAUUCCUGGUGUAGCGGUGAAAUGCGCAGAUAUCAGGAGGAACACCGGUGGCGAAGGCGGAUCUCUGGGCCAUUACUGACGCUGAGGAGCGAAAGCGUGGGGAGCGAACAGGAUUAGAUACCCUGGUAGUCCACGCCGUAAACGUUGGGAACUAGGUGUUGGCGACAUUCCACGUCGUCGGUGCCGCAGCUAACGCAUUAAGUUCCCCGCCUGGGGAGUACGGCCGCAAG